AGAGUUUGAUCCUGGCUCAGACUGAACGCUGGCGGCAUGCCUUACACAUGCAAGUCGAACGGUAGAGGGGCAACCCUUGAGAGUGGCGAACGGGUGAGUAAUGCAUCGGAACGUGCCCAGUCGUGGGGGAUAACGCAGCGAAAGCUGUGCUAAUACCGCAUGUGAUCUGUGGAUGAAAGCAGGGGACUUGGUAGCAAUACUGGGCCUUGUGCGAUUGGAGCGGCCGAUGUCAGAUUAGCUAGUUGGUAGGGUAAAAGCCUACCAAGGCGACGAUCUGUAGCUGGUCUGAGAGGACGACCAGCCACACUGGGACUGAGACACGGCCCAGACUCCUACGGGAGGCAGCAGUGGGGAAUUUUGGACAAUGGGCGCAAGCCUGAUCCAGCAAUGCCGCGUGCAGGACGAAGGCCUUCGGGUUGUAAACUGCUUUUGUACGGAGCGAAACGGUCUGGGUUAAUACCCUAGGCUAAUGACGGUACCGUAAGAAUAAGCACCGGCUAACUACGUGCCAGCAGCCGCGGUAAUAC
This 527-nucleotide ribosomal RNA is filed under the name uncultured Burkholderiales bacterium. RNAcentral describes it as "bacterial SSU rRNA". It matches the Rfam family "Bacterial small subunit ribosomal RNA", at positions 8 to 526 of the family's 1533-position model. The record is from RNAcentral. Lineage: Bacteria; Pseudomonadati; Pseudomonadota; Betaproteobacteria; Burkholderiales.